CCCAAAUAGACUUGGAGGUCCGUGACUGAGUGCUGACUUUACAGCAUCGGUUGGCCGGCCGGCCGAGUCUUGGCGUUUCCGCAUUGGUCGUUGCCCUUUCAAAACGAACUGGCGCAAAACUUGGCGCAACUUUCUAUUGCGUCAUCGGGGGUGCGUUUACAGGUGCGUGUUGUCAAAUUAGCCCCUUUUGUAGCUAGAUUAACAGACUUUUCACACCCGUUUAGCGACUUUUUCGUCACAAAAAUAACCUAGCAACAAAUCUGGCGACUUUUUGAUCAAAGUUUAGCUACUUUCCGGAAGUAGAGGGGGGGGGCAGUAUCGCCCCAAGAGCGCGAGGCCGGGCCUUCCCUCCGCAGGCACACCUCUCUGUGCAUCUCAUUCAACUGACCGCACGGCAGCUGUCACAGACACGGACGAAAAGGCGACCAGCACCAUGCUAAAAGAUGUGGGCCCUUAGGAGUGUCGCUUCCAGCCACACAGCAAAGUACCCCAUCCCCGACAAACAACAAGUGAACCAGAGAUCUCCCCCUGUCCCAAUGCACUAGACACUUACAGCUCCAACACUGGGCAUAGCACUCCACUGCAGCUUUUGCAGCUGGGCUGCCCUGCCUCACUUGGAUGCAUCAACAAAGCUUGAAGUGGCCACUCUAAUCUGACUUGGCCAACAGAUGGUUUCGAGGGAAAAAAAAGAAUAUGAUCACAAUACCAACAUUUUUGUUGUAUUGAACAUUUUCUCUCAUUGGAUUUUUUCGGCAGAUUGUCUCAAUUUUUCAAUGUGUCUAAGCCCUUUGUUAGAGAGAGAUCUGUUAAAUCUGUCUUGC
Long non-coding RNA from Xiphias gladius (swordfish), 821 nucleotides. RefSeq lists it as uncharacterized. The transcript is spliced from 4 exons. NCBI's taxonomy places the organism in Eukaryota, Metazoa, Chordata, Actinopteri, Istiophoriformes, Xiphiidae. The record is from RefSeq and is a predicted model, not a curated record.